This 311-nucleotide ribosomal RNA is filed under the name uncultured eukaryote. Its description in RNAcentral is "partial 18S ribosomal RNA". It matches the Rfam family "Eukaryotic small subunit ribosomal RNA", at positions 1470 to 1796 of the family's 1831-position model. The record is from RNAcentral.
CCCCUAGACGUUCUGGGCUGCACGCGCGCUACAAUAAUACGCACAGCGAGUAUCACCGAGCUCGAAAGGGCAAGGUAAACAAUAGAAAAGGUACUGUAAUGGUUAUAGAUCCUUGUAAUUAUUGAUCUUCAACGAGGAAUUCCUAGUAAGUAUGUGUCAUCAUCACGCACUGAUUACGUCCCUGCCCUCUGUACACACCGCCCGUCGCUCCUACCGAUUGAGUGAGCCGAUGAAACUGCCGGAUGUGGACUAUUCAUAGUCUGCAGAAGAUAUUUGAAUCGUAGCGCUUAGAGGAAGGAGAAGUCGUAACA